RNAcentral lists this small nuclear RNA (147 nucleotides) under Maylandia zebra (zebra mbuna). RNAcentral describes it as "U2 spliceosomal RNA (ENSMZEG00005000247.1)". It matches the Rfam family "U2 spliceosomal RNA", at positions 38 to 185 of the family's 192-position model. From Rfam's summary of the family: U2 is a small nuclear RNA (snRNA) component of the spliceosome (involved in pre-mRNA splicing). Complementary binding between U2 snRNA (in an area lying towards the 5' end but 3' to hairpin I) and the branchpoint sequence (BPS) of the intron results the bulging out of an unpaired adenosine, on the BPS, which initiates a nucleophilic attack at the intronic 5' splice site, thus starting the first of two transesterification reactions that mediate splicing. Lineage: Eukaryota; Metazoa; Chordata; Actinopteri; Cichliformes; Cichlidae. The record is from RNAcentral.
AUCUGUUCUUAUCAGUUUAAUAUCUGAUACGUCCCCUAUCCGGGGACCAUAUAUUAAAUUGAUUUUUGGAACAGGGAGAUGGAAUAGGGGCUUGCUCCGUCCACUCCACGCAUCGACCUGGUAUUGCAGUAUUUCUAGGAACGGUGC